This 432-nucleotide ribosomal RNA is filed under the name Triticum aestivum (bread wheat). RNAcentral describes it as "partial small subunit ribosomal RNA". Lineage: Eukaryota; Viridiplantae; Streptophyta; Magnoliopsida; Poales; Poaceae. The record is from RNAcentral.
AUGGAGUGUGGUUUGAAAUCCCUGAGCAGCAGCUCCUCCUCCGCAGCGUCGCCUUCUCUGAUGAUGGCCUGCAGGCCGUUCCCGCAGCCGCCGCUCCUGCCCCUGCCGCAGCACCUCCAGGCCUCGCCGGCACCGGCAGGCCGCCAGGUCGACCUCCCGCGCGCCAACAAGAGCCCCAAGAAGCCGGCGAGCGGGGCGGCAUCGGCGCCCAUCGUGGUAGCGGCGCCGCCUAUGUCGGCGUGGGCGUCGAUGGACUCGAUGUACUCGGUGUCGCCGCCGCCGAGCAGCGUCCCGAUGCCGACGUCGCUGCUGCUGGCCGCCGGCGCCGGGCGGAAGAAGGUGCCGACCCCGUGCGCUGUGCAGGUGGCUGGCGCUGGCGGGGGCGUGGACGUCGGCGCCACCGACGAGCUCCGCCGCCUGCUCCGGCUCUAG